This 355-nucleotide transfer RNA is filed under the name uncultured Microcystis sp. Its description in RNAcentral is "partial 16S-23S ribosomal RNA intergenic spacer". The stretch from base 133 to 206 matches the Rfam family "tRNA". The record is from RNAcentral. Lineage: Bacteria; Bacillati; Cyanobacteriota; Cyanophyceae; Chroococcales; Microcystaceae.
AAGGGAGACCUAAUUCGGGUAUAAGACGAAAAAAGAGUAGUCGAAACCAAGAAUCAAUCCCAAAAGGUCGGAACGAGGUAUGUGGCUUUCAAACUAGGUUCUGGGUUCACACAAGACCUGAAUCAGGAACAAGGGCUAUUAGCUCAGGUGGUUAGAGCGCACCCCUGAUAAGAGUGAGGUCCCUGGUUCGAGUCCAGGAUGGCCCACCUGCACAGGUGGCAAAAACAAAGAAGCGAGGAAUCAGCACCUUAUCUUAUCUAUAUAUAAGAGAGAAUGCUGGCUCUGAGUAAAGAGUCCAGAGGAACCUUGAAAACUGCAUAGAGCUAGGUGAAAAAGCCAAAAAAGAAGACCGCAA